This 834-nucleotide ribosomal RNA is filed under the name uncultured soil archaeon. RNAcentral describes it as "bacterial SSU rRNA". It matches the Rfam family "Archaeal small subunit ribosomal RNA", at positions 21 to 859 of the family's 1478-position model. The record is from RNAcentral.
AGGUCACUGCUAUCGGUGUUCGAUUAAGCCAUGCGAGUCGUGAGGGGUAAAGCCCUCGGCGGAGUGCUCAGUAACACGUGGACAACCUACCCAAGAGUCAGGGAUAACCCCGGGAAACUGGGGAUAAUACCUGAUAGGCCAUGACAUCUGGAAUCGAGUUGUGGUUUAAACGUAAGGCUCUUGGAUGGGUCUGCGGCGGAUUAGGUUGUUGCCGGUGUAACGUACCAGCAAGCCCGUAAUCCGUACGGGUUGUGGGAGCAAGAGCCCGGAGAUGGAUUCUGAGACACGAAUCCAGGCCCUACGGGGCGCAGCAGGCGCGAAAACUCUACAAUGCAGGCAACUGCGAUAGGGGAACAUCGAGUGGCAUCCACCAUGGAUGUCUGUCCAAUCGUCUAAAAAACGAUUGUCAGCAAGGGCCGGGCAAGACCGGUGCCAGCCGCCGCGGUAAUACCGGCGGCUCGAGUGGUGGCCGAUAUUAUUGAGUCUAAAGGGUCCGUAGCCGGCUUUGCAAGUCCUAUGGGAAAUCCAGCGGCUUAACCGUUGGGCUUUCAUGGGAUACUACAUUGCUUGGGACUGGGAGAGGUAGGAGGUACUCAGGGGGUAGGGGUGAAAUCCUGUAAUCCUUUGGGGACCACCGGUGGCGAAGGCGUCCUACCAGAACAGGUCCGACGGUGAGGGACGAAAGCUAGGGGCACGAACCGGAUUAGAUACCCGGGUAGUCCUAGCCGUAAACGAUGCUCGCUAGGUGUCACGGCAGUCGUGAAUUGUCGUGGUGCCGUAGGGAAGCCGUGAAGCGAGCCACUUGGGAAGUACGACCGCAAGGUUGAAACUUAA